CUGUGGGUAGGGGUGAAAGGCUAAACAAACUUCGUGAUUGCUGGUUCUCCCCGAAAUGUCUAGAGGGACAGCCUCGUGUCAGCCGUAACGGAGGUAGAGCACUGAAUGGGCUAGGGGCGUUCCAACGCUACUGAACCCAAUCAAACUCCGAAUGCCGUUACUGGACGCACGGGAGUUAGACUACGGGUGCUAAGAUCCGUGGUCAAAAGGGAAACAGCCCAGAUUGGCAGCUAAGGCCCCGAAUCCAUGCUCAGUGUAGAUAAGGAAGUGGGGUUGCCCAGACAGCUAGGAUGUUGGCUUAGAAGCAGCCAUCAUUUAAAGAAAGCGUAAUAGCUCACUGGUCGAGCGAGCCUGCGCCGAAAAUACAACGGGGCUCAAGUCUAGCACCGAAGCUUCGGGCUUCUUCGGAAGCGGUAGGGGAGUACUCUCAAGCAGAUACACGGCGUACCGGCAAGGAGCGCUAUCGGGCUUGAGAGGAGCUUAUGCAGGCAUGAGUAGCGAUAAACAGGAUGAGAAAUCCUGUCGCCGUAAGCCCAAGGUUUCCCGGGGUAGGAUAAUCCUCCCGAGGGUUAGUCGGAUCCUAAGCCGAGGCUGAAAAGCGUAGGCGAUGGAAAGCAGGUUAAUAUUCCUGCGCCUGCUAUACACUAAAAGGGACGGAGAGCCGUGGUGGCUACGUACGGACGGAAGUGUACGUUGAGCCCAGCCUUCGGGCAAAGCGAAGCCAUAAAAGCUCUUCCAAGAAAAGCGGAUAUAGCAGCCGGUACCGCAAACCGACACAGGUAGUCGAGGCGAAUAGCCUAAGGUGCUCGGGUGAGCCGUGGAGAAGGAACUAGGCAAAUUGACGCUGUAACUUCGGGAUAAAGCGUACCAUCUUCGGAUGGUCUCAGUAAAAUGGUUCAACCAACUGUUUAACAAAAACACAGGGCCCUGCAAAAUCGUAAGAUGACGUAUAGAGCCUGAUACCUGCCCGGUGCUGGAAGGUUAAGCGGAGAGGUCAGCCACUUCGGUGGCGAAGCUUUGAUUCUAAGCCCCAGUAAACGGCGGCGGUAACUAUAACCGUCCUAAGGUAGCGAAAUUCCUUGUCGGGUAAGUUCCGACCUGCACGAAUGGCGUAACGACUUCCCUACUGUCUCAACCACAGACCCAGCGAAAUUGAAGUACGAGUAAAGAUGCUCGUUAGCUGCGGAAGGACGGAAAGACCCCGUGGACCUUCACUAUAACUUGAUGUUGUGUUUUGGUUUAGAUUGUGUAGGAUAGGUGGGAG
RNAcentral lists this ribosomal RNA (1264 nucleotides) under Selaginella bryopteris. RNAcentral describes it as "bacterial LSU rRNA". It matches the Rfam family "Bacterial large subunit ribosomal RNA", at positions 809 to 2153 of the family's 2925-position model. The record is from RNAcentral. Lineage: Eukaryota; Viridiplantae; Streptophyta; Lycopodiopsida; Selaginellales; Selaginellaceae.